Molecule: long non-coding RNA, 203 nt
Filed under: Elaeis guineensis (African oil palm)
Lineage: Eukaryota; Viridiplantae; Streptophyta; Magnoliopsida; Arecales; Arecaceae
Description: long non-coding RNA (EGUI_LNC069624)
Source: RNAcentral
GUAAGUACACCAUAAACAACCAAGAUUUAUAGUGGUUUGGUGCCAACCUUGCACCUACAUCCACUCUCCAAGCUCCUACUUGAGAAUUCAAAUCUACUAAAUCGUAUUCAACAAGAAUACAACGUCGGUACCUCUGACUCUAGCUAUCCCAAGCUAGAACACUUAUUUUUCGGAUAUAAACCAACCCAAUAUAAUUCAAUUCA